RNAcentral lists this ribosomal RNA (2931 nucleotides) under Escherichia coli O145. RNAcentral describes it as "23S ribosomal RNA". It matches the Rfam family "Bacterial large subunit ribosomal RNA". Lineage: Bacteria; Pseudomonadati; Pseudomonadota; Gammaproteobacteria; Enterobacterales; Enterobacteriaceae. The record is from RNAcentral.
GGGUUGUGAGGUUAAGCGACUAAGCGUACACGGUGGAUGCCCUGGCAGUCAGAGGCGAUGAAGGACGUGCUAAUCUGCGAUAAGCGUCGGUAAGGUGAUAUGAACCGUUAUAACCGGCGAUUUCCGAAUGGGGAAACCCAGUGUGUUUCGACACACUAUCAUUAACUGAAUCCAUAGGUUAAUGAGGCGAACCGGGGGAACUGAAACAUCUAAGUACCCCGAGGAAAAGAAAUCAACCGAGAUUCCCCCAGUAGCGGCGAGCGAACGGGGAGCAGCCCAGAGCCUGAAUCAGUGUGUGUGUUAGUGGAAGCGCCUGGAAAGGCGCGCGAUACAGGGUGACAGCCCCGUACACAAAAAUGCACAUACUGUGAGCUCGAUGAGUAGGGCGGGACACGUGGUAUCCUGUCUGAAUAUGGGGGGACCAUCCUCCAAGGCUAAAUACUCCUGACUGACCGAUAGUGAACCAGUACCGUGAGGGAAAGGCGAAAAGAACCCCGGCGAGGGGAGUGAAAAAGAACCUGAAACCGUGUACGUACAAGCAGUGGGAGCACGCUUCGGCGUGUGACUGCGUACCUUUUGUAUAAUGGGUCAGCGACUUAUAUUCUGUAGCAAGGUUAACCGAAUAGGGGAGCCGAAGGGAAACCGAGUCUUAACUGGGCGUUAAGUUGCAGGGUAUAGACCCGAAACCCGGUGAUCUAGCCAUGGGCAGGUUGAAGGUUGGGUAACACUAACUGGAGGACCGAACCGACUAAUGUUGAAAAAUUAGCGGAUGACUUGUGGCUGGGGGUGAAAGGCCAAUCAAACCGGGAGAUAGCUGGUUCUCCCCGAAAGCUAUUUAGGUAGCGCCUCGUGAACUCAUCUUCGGGGGUAGAGCACUGUUUCGGCAAGGGGUCAUCCCGACUUACCAACCCGAUGCAAACUGCGAAUACCGGAGAAUGUUAUCACGGGAGACACACGGCGGGUGCUAACGUCCGUCGUGAAGAGGGAAACAACCCAGACCGCCAGCUAAGGUCCCAAAGUCAUGGUUAAGUGGGAAACGAUGUGGGAAGGCCCAGACAGCCAGGAUGUUGGCUUAGAAGCAGCCAUCAUUUAAAGAAAGCGUAAUAGCUCACUGGUCGAGUCGGCCUGCGCGGAAGAUGUAACGGGGCUAAACCAUGCACCGAAGCUGCGGCAGCGACACUAUGUGUUGUUGGGUAGGGGAGCGUUCUGUAAGCCUGUGAAGGUGUGCUGUGAGGCAUGCUGGAGGUAUCAGAAGUGCGAAUGCUGACAUAAGUAACGAUAAAGCGGGUGAAAAGCCCGCUCGCCGGAAGACCAAGGGUUCCUGUCCAACGUUAAUCGGGGCAGGGUGAGUCGACCCCUAAGGCGAGGCCGAAAGGCGUAGUCGAUGGGAAACAGGUUAAUAUUCCUGUACUUGGUGUUACUGCGAAGGGGGGACGGAGAAGGCUAUGUUGGCCGGGCGACGGUUGUCCCGGUUUAAGCGUGUAGGCUGGUUUUCCAGGCAAAUCCGGAAAAUCAAGGCUGAGGCGUGAUGACGAGGCACUACGGUGCUGAAGCAACAAAUGCCCUGCUUCCAGGAAAAGCCUCUAAGCAUCAGGUAACAUUAAAUCGUACCCCAAACCGACACAGGUGGUCAGGUAGAGAAUACCAAGGCGCUUGAGAGAACUCGGGUGAAGGAACUAGGCAAAAUGGUGCCGUAACUUCGGGAGAAGGCACGCUGAUAUGUAGGUGAAGUCCCUCGCGGAUGGAGCUGAAAUCAGUCGAAGAUACCAGCUGGCUGCAACUGUUUAUUAAAAACACAGCACUGUGCAAACACGAAAGUGGACGUAUACGGUGUGACGCCUGCCCGGUGCCGGAAGGUUAAUUGAUGGGGUUAGCGGUAACGCGAAGCUCUUGAUCGAAGCCCCGGUAAACGGCGGCCGUAACUAUAACGGUCCUAAGGUAGCGAAAUUCCUUGUCGGGUAAGUUCCGACCUGCACGAAUGGCGUAAUGAUGGCCAGGCUGUCUCCACCCGAGACUCAGUGAAAUUGAACUCGCUGUGAAGAUGCAGUGUACCCGCGGCAAGACGGAAAGACCCCGUGAACCUUUACUAUAGCUUGACACUGAACAUUGAGCCUUGAUGUGUAGGAUAGGUGGGAGGCUUUGAAGUGUGGACGCCAGUCUGCAUGGAGCCGACCUUGAAAUACCACCCUUUAAUGUUUGAUGUUCUAACGUUGACCCGUAAUCCGGGUUGCGGACAGUGUCUGGUGGGUAGUUUGACUGGGGCGGUCUCCUCCUAAAGAGUAACGGAGGAGCACGAAGGUUGGCUAAUCCUGGUCGGACAUCAGGAGGUUAGUGCAAUGGCAUAAGCCAGCUUGACUGCGAGCGUGACGGCGCGAGCAGGUGCGAAAGCAGGUCAUAGUGAUCCGGUGGUUCUGAAUGGAAGGGCCAUCGCUCAACGGAUAAAAGGUACUCCGGGGAUAACAGGCUGAUACCGCCCAAGAGUUCAUAUCGACGGCGGUGUUUGGCACCUCGAUGUCGGCUCAUCACAUCCUGGGGCUGAAGUAGGUCCCAAGGGUAUGGCUGUUCGCCAUUUAAAGUGGUACGCGAGCUGGGUUUAGAACGUCGUGAGACAGUUCGGUCCCUAUCUGCCGUGGGCGCUGGAGAACUGAGGGGGGCUGCUCCUAGUACGAGAGGACCGGAGUGGACGCAUCACUGGUGUUCGGGUUGUCAUGCCAAUGGCACUGCCCGGUAGCUAAAUGCGGAAGAGAUAAGUGCUGAAAGCAUCUAAGCACGAAACUUGCCCCGAGAUGAGUUCUCCCUGACUCCUUGAGAGUCCUGAAGGAACGUUGAAGACGACGACGUUGAUAGGCCGGGUGUGUAAGCGCAGCGAUGCGUUGAGCUAACCGGUACUAAUGAACCGUGAGGCUUAACCUUACAACGCCGAAGGUGUUU